Molecule: non-coding RNA, 813 nt
Organism: Podarcis muralis (Common wall lizard)
Lineage: Eukaryota; Metazoa; Chordata; Lepidosauria; Squamata; Lacertidae
Source: RefSeq, a predicted model, not a curated record
GCUGGCGGGGCCGCCGCUCAGAGCCGAGGGGCGGGGCUACGGCCGCCGCCGCCGCCGCUGCCGCGACCUUUGUGUCGGGGAAGGAAGGAAGGAAGAGCGGGCAGGAGGGCGCAGGGUGGCUGUGCUCUCCUGCCAACCUGCCUGAAACCCAGGACCCUUCCAGGUCGGUAGAAAAGGAUGGAGCUCUGGGGGAAGCUUGUUUCCUGCUGUUCCAGAGGGCAGGACCUGGACCAGUGAAUUCAGAUUGCAAGAAAGGAGAUUCUGUCUAAACAUCAAGAAGAACUUUUUGAGGGAACCCAGGAGAGUCUCAGCCAUGCCUUCGGAGAAGACCUCGCCGCUUGCGCACCCUUCUAAGCCUGGGAAGGAGAAGACCGCCCUGCCUGGGUCCCUGAAGGCAGGCUCUGAGGGCCACACGGAGCAGUCCAAACCCACGAUGACGAGAGGCUCUGGCAGGAGGCCUCGCCCCCCUGCCAGCGAAGGGGAGAAGGACUCUGGAUUUUCAGGUACAGACCCCCCCAGUGGCUGCCCCCUUGCUGUCAGGCUGAGAGCCGGACGGUGGGGCUGCAGUUUGAGCAGUAAAGGAGGUCCCUUUCCCCACUUGCUGCCUUAGCUCUGGGAUUCGAGAGGCCUCCUUGUCUAGCUCCUUGCAGCUCGGAGGCAGAGAGACUGGCUACCCAAGCAUGGCAGCAUCUUCCUUGGCCGGCAUUUUUAUUUAUUUUAUUUAUAAUUUUUUUACACCUCUUGAGAGUGAAAGUACAGGGUUGUAAAGACUGCAGAGAGAAUAACUGGGCGUGCUCUUCCCACCUUAGAGCA